This 207-nucleotide ribosomal RNA is filed under the name uncultured bacterium. RNAcentral describes it as "partial 16S ribosomal RNA". It matches the Rfam family "Bacterial small subunit ribosomal RNA", at positions 1287 to 1500 of the family's 1533-position model. The record is from RNAcentral.
CUCAGUUCGGAUUGGAGUCUGAACACCCGACUCCAUGAAGCUGGAUUCGCUAGUAAUCGCGCAUCAGCCACGGCGCGGUGAAUACGUUCCCGGGCCUUGUACACACCGCCCGUCAAGCCAUGGAAGCCGGGGGUGCCUGAAGUGCGCUGCCGCAAGGAGCGUCCUAGGGUAAAACCGGUGACUGGGGCUAAGUCGUAACAAGGUACC